AGGCGGUGAUGACAACAAAACAUUUCUCGAUGCUGAAACUUACUCGAGAGACCAAAAAUAACUCUUGUAAUGUUUCAUGAUGCUUAUUUUUUGUGCGUGUCUGAGCCUC
This 109-nucleotide small nucleolar RNA is filed under the name Capsella rubella. RNAcentral describes it as "small nucleolar RNA snoR126". It matches the Rfam family "small nucleolar RNA snoR126". The record is from Rfam by way of RNAcentral. Lineage: Eukaryota; Viridiplantae; Streptophyta; Magnoliopsida; Brassicales; Brassicaceae.